UUUAGUCUAUUCGAUAGUCUCUUACUACUAGGAUACCCGUAGUAAUUCUAGAGCUAAUACUUGCGUAAACACUCGACUUUUGGAAGAGUGGUAUUUAUUAGAUUGAAACCAACCUGUUUCGGCAGUGUACUGGUGAUUCACAAUAACUUUGCGAAUCGCAUGGCUUUUGCCGGCGAUAGAUCGUUCGAGAUUCUGCCCUAUCAGCUUUGAUGGUAGUGUAUUGGACUACCAUGGCUUUAACGGGUAACGGAGGAUUAGGGUUUGAUUCCGGAGAGGGAGCCUGAGAGACGGCUACCACA
This 299-nucleotide ribosomal RNA is filed under the name uncultured eukaryote. Its description in RNAcentral is "partial 18S rRNA". It matches the Rfam family "Eukaryotic small subunit ribosomal RNA", at positions 111 to 414 of the family's 1831-position model. The record is from RNAcentral.